Mus caroli (Ryukyu mouse) is the source of this 6080-nucleotide non-coding RNA. The record is from RefSeq and is a predicted model, not a curated record. NCBI's taxonomy places the organism in Eukaryota, Metazoa, Chordata, Mammalia, Rodentia, Muridae.
UCGUGGCAUCCGCGCCGCGGCCGCAAGUAUAGCAGGUUCGUACCUGGUGUUCAUCGCCGUUAAGUCAUCGCUGCUGCCACCCAGGCACGGCUCUCUAUGACGCCGCUCCCUCCACCCUCUAGGCACUGCCAGCCGUAAGAAUUUUAACUGCGACACUCGCUUCAUCAGGAGAUUUUAUUGGCUGCAGACACACCCAGCAUCUUCUUGCGCUCCUCCUUGAGGUGGAUGGACAGCUAGCUGCAGAUGGCACAGAAUGAUGCAGCAACAAAGCUUCUUUGUACAGACAACCCUGGACACACUUCUAGCAGCAAUUCUUCUUGCAGGAACUGGUGCAAGAACAGGAUUUAUCCGUGGCACAGGAGCAGUUGGUGUCCACUGGGAGUGGAGGCAGAAGAGAGACCAGAGCGGGUAUGUUAGGAGAGAAAGCAGUGACUUCAACAGAAGUGGAGUAAAUAAAGAUGAUUGCAGAACUUGGAAGCUGACGAAAUUAAUUUUGGAAAAGAGCUGGCUUGGAGCAUGACAGAAGAAUGCGUUGGAAAGAAGUUCGUGGCUUUCAGAGAAAGGCACUGCCCAGUGGGCAAUGCUGGGAGCCCAACUCAAGACUGAUGUGUGCUUGGCAGGCAGUCUACCCCCGAUCUCAGUCCUCAGCCUUUCGGCCUUUUUUCUUUCCUUUUUGGAGACAGAAUUGCAUCAUAUGGCAUCCUACACAGUCCUGCCUCAGUCUCUGGAGUGCUGGGAUUGUAGGCCUAUGCCACCUAGCCUUUCUACAAUACAAACAAAUAUGAAAAGAAGAGGGGCUUCUUUGGAAAGGAGUACAGGGACUAUGGAAGAGAUGAAAAGAUAAUAUUGUCAGAAAUUAUGCCGCUUUUGAAGAGAUAAACUGAACUCUUUUGAUUCUGUGAGGUUAUUAAAGAAUAUAAUUUUCAAAUCACGAUAAAAUCUUGAUUGCUGGGAAGUUGGAAUUUUGUCAUUUGUCGAAUCUGUCCCUUACUUAUACUGAAGUUUUCUGCUCAGAUUCUACAACACAUGAGGAUAAUCAUUGUUUCCAUGGAAACCUUGGGAGACAGUUGAAAGUCUGGUCCCUGUUGCCUGGAGUAUUAACACAAUGUGGCUGCAAAGUUAGUCUUUUCCUGCUACCAUCUCCUGAAUACUGGGAGUAACUACACGUAUGCACGAACCUGCCCAUCUUUGCCUCUGUUAACAGCUGCCACUGUCUCUUCACGACAUGAUGGCUGACCUAGGUUGGAAGGAACAGAGCCAGUUGGCCAUGGACUGAAACUUUUGGAACUGGCUUCUUGGUUAACCUUGAAUCGUUAGCCUGAAGCAAUCCUACUGCUUUGGUCUUCCGGUUAACUGGGUCUACAGGUACCUGCCUCUGACAGUUUGUACGUGAGGAUUCUGAGGAGUUAAUGUUUCCAUGAAUAUCUCAAAAGGAGAUGUGGGCAAACGAACAGUUAUCUCACUCCUGUAGGUUGGACUACAGUGAUCACUGAGUAGGAGCUUCGUCUUUAAAAUCUGGGGUGUGCUGUUAUGGUUGGUAUUCAUUUUUCCUUUACCCGCUUUCCCCAUACCUCCAUUUAUAAUUUUAUUGCUGCUCAUAGCUCCAGAAGGAUAUAGUAACAGAGCAGGCAUGGCCUCAGUGUGGUAAGCUAAGUGAGAACAGGAAGUGGAACCAGGGUAGAAAACCUCAGUCUUGCCCCUAGUGGCACACUUCAAGCAAGGUUCUCCUUCUGAAAGGUCCCAUUACAUUCCCAAAUGUUACCACCACCUGGGAUAUGAGUGUUCUGAUACAUGAGCUAGGGCCACGGUGUUCCUCCAAAGCACCACAGAGGGCAGAAUGUACAGCCUGCUAGAAGAGCUUUCUAUGAAAGGAUCCAUCUCUUCACUGGAGCACGCAGAGAUAUAAAGAAGACAACUUGGAGUGGUCUUGAAAGGAUUUGAGGUUUGACAUGGACUCCAAAAAGCACAAGAUUCAUGGUUUUCCUUCUUUGUUUCUUGCUAGGUAAUCCUGGCUAGCUAGUAACUACCUACAAAGAUGGAGGAGGCCCCAGUCUUGUAGCAAUCCUGCUGCUGCCUCACAAUUGUUAGGAUUAUAGACAUGGGCACAUGUUCAUUAGAAAGUUGCACUGUUCUCUAAUUCAUCUUUUAAGAUAAACUAUAGAGGGAUGAAGAUUAGCAUGUUACACCACCACUGAUAGAAACCAUUCUAGUAUCACAAAACAUUCAACUCAUGUAGAAUUUCCCUUGGCUGUUUGGGAUGACAGAGAGAUGGAAUUGAGUUUUUAGAAAGUAAACCACACAAGAAAGUCUAGGGAACUGACAGAGCCUGGCUGGAUUGCACAGUUCAUCCUCAUACUACUUUUUACUGACCCAGCUCCUGAGGAAAAGACCCUGCUGUGUUUACUUCAACGCUGAUUUAAUAAUCAUAGUUUUCAUGACUGGUCCUUUAGAAAUUUGGCCUGCUUUAUAUUUGCCCCUGGGGCUUAGACAAGGGAGAAAAAUGGAAAAUACUGUCCGAGGUAACCACAGCCACACAGAACCUCAUACACCAAGUGGUUAGCCUUAUAGAGCACAGGUGCCUGUUCUCAGUCACAUGCUAUCCCUGUCUUAUGAUUUUGUUUACGUUAACCAUUCUUUUCCACAGCAUUAAUGUCCUUAUACGCAAAAUAAGACAGAAAUCUUUGUUGUGUUAGACUGUUAGACAUCAACAAUGAAAAAUCCCUCAGGCCCAAAUAUCAGAAGAUAGCACCGAAAUACCAAGUUAGAACGAAGAGUGUGGGCAGUGGAUUUGAAGGUAAAUGCAGACAUUAUCAUGGUUGCUCCUACAAUACAGAACAUUCUUGUUUAUUAGUCUGAUACCAGCCAUUUGAUGUCAUGUUGACAACUAAAGAAGCUUUAUAUAAGAACAGGAGCUCUGUAAGAAAAUAUUGUAGGAAUUAGGCUUUAUAAGACAAUCAUGGCCCUUGGCACUCUUGGUUAAGUCUCGUAGGAUGGGUAGGGUAGAACUUAGGUGUGAAAAGUCUUGACUUUCAAUUAUUCUACAUUGAAUUCCCAGAACACCUGAGUCAAGCUUUAUUGUGUUUAUUACCCUCGGUCUUGCCUCCUCAUUCCUGUGUGGACUCCUUAACUCCUGCCUCUCUUUACCCAACCCAAAUGUGUUUCAGCAAUCUUCUUUCCCUGCCCAGUACUGGAUCUGUGCAAAGCUGAAUCAUGAAUCAGUGAGUGUGCGGAUUGGAACCCAAGUUGCUCUCUGGAUAGAACGAAAGGAGUGGUGCCCCAAGAAGAUGGAGAGGGAAGUUAUGAAGUGCUGUGACCAAAUAACAAAUGCUGAUGUUUGGGGAGAUAAUUGUUUCCGAUAGGAAAUGGAGUGAAUGCGAUGUCUUUCUUUUGUGAGGGAUUCAUAGACCGCUUCUCAACACUUGUUACAUGUUACUCCUUUUUUCGAGAUUUCUAUUUACAUAAUUGGGAAAGAAACCAAAACAAGGUUUUGAUUGAAUUCUGAUACAGGUAUUUAAAGACUUAAGGACAAGAUAUAGAAGAAGUGGUAAUUAACUGAUUAAAGAAGUACAGUUUAUGUCCAGUAGGCAGACAGGCUCCAGACAUCCUUAGUGCUGUCUUAACAUCAAAGGUUAAUCUACCUAAUACUUGUCAUCCUGAAAUGCAUGGUGGAACACCCAACAGACAAGAGCUACUUCAGGGAAGGACUAUGAUUUUUGUCAUGGAAGACAUUUAACACAGGGCAGCUCUUAUGCACUUACAUUAUAGAUAUUGCUCUUCCGGUGACUCUCAAUGCUCUUCCCACUUUCAGCUCACUGGGCACAUUGAACUAAAAAUUUUAUCAUCUCGUGAAUUAGUCCAAUACCUGAAGGAGCAAAAGAACCAACACCCAGUUGACAAGAAUAUGACGUGUUGAUUGAAGACCAUUAAGAAAGUAACUUAAUUCAAUUGGACUGGACUUUUUUAUUCUAUUGAAAAAGGAAUUUAUUUUCCCUCAGUGAAAGUAACAUGAUCAACAUUUUGAAAGUUGUGAACAGGCAUAGUUCUAUAACCCACAAAAUAAUUAUAAAAAUUUGAGUAUGGAUGCAGCAUAAUUUCAGAACAGAAUAGCCAUCAUACUUUUUAUAUAUCUUAAAUUCGAGUUUUCAAAAGUAUAUUUCUAUGUUAUAUCCUUUGAUUAGUACAAUAUAAAAUCUACAUCUAAUAUGUACUUCAGGUUUUAUUAGAUCAUACCAUAUUACUGUACAAUUUGGACUUUCCCAAUUUUUUUAUAUAAAAUGUAACAUACAUUGUACAUUAAUAUUUAUAUAUCUUGUUUCUUUAGAAUUAAUUUCUGCCAAUUAUUUUCUUUAUUUGAAUACUUGGGGUAUCAUAAAGGUGCUGUUGAGGUAUUCUCAAUAUGCUUGUACAACUUCCUGCCUGUAGUUAAUAAAUGUGGAUAUUUCAUUAAACAAUUGAAAUAUAACAUUUUCUCUUUGUAACAUUUUGUUGGUAUCUGAUUGUAGCUCUAUAGAUUGUAAAAUAUAUGUAGUUGCAUAUCUUCAGUCCAUGCAGACUGCUUUUGUGGCUGGGGGUUGUUUCCUGGAGAGGGUGUGUUGCCUUGCCUUUUAUUGAGUUGUGUAGUGGAAUUGCAUAUGUGCCAUCAUACCGAGCAGUUGGAAGUCUUCUAAAUUCAGUCACUCUUUACCCCUUUGCAUGGGAACGACUAAUUUGAUUGAUAAACAUAGCUAAUAUUUUGACUUCUAGAAAGUGAAAUCCGUAGAAUCAUAUGUAAUGUUUAGAGUUUGGAGUCUGGCUGCUCUCACUUCCUAAAUGUGAUUGAGUUUUACCCAUGCUGAUGGGCAUUAGACCAUUCUCUAGUUAUUUAACAUGUGGAAUAUUUCUGCUUCUGACAGUUACGAGCAAAGUUCAUAGGUAAUUUUAGGUAUAAUUGUCCUUAGCUCUGUGUAUGAGUCAAUAUGAUUAUAGUAGCCAGACACUAAAGGUAUCAGAUUUCGCCUGGACCUGGUGUUACAGGCAAUUUUCAGCUGCCCAACAUGGGUGAGUUUCCUUUCCUUUUGGUGUUUAAUUCUUCCCACCUUCCACAUAUUAAUUCUGUCAGAAGACCUGCCAUUCUUUCCUUUGCUGCGCACUGUACUUUCGUGUGAUCCCAUUUAUCAAACUUUGCUAUUAUUUCUUAAGCUGUUGUAGUCUUUUGAAGAAUUAUUGCCUAUGCUAUUAAUUCCAAGUAUUCUCCAGUUUCCUAUACGAGUUGUAGUUUGUGGCUUUAUUUUAAGGUGUUUUAUCCAUUUUGCACUAUUCUUUGUAUAGCGUGAAAGGCAGAGAUAUUGUACCAGUGGGUAUCCUACUUUUACUUUGGGAACUUUUGUUGAAAUGAGGGAGACAGGGUGAGCCUCAGUUUACAACUGAGCUCUAUGCCAUUGGCUCCCACUUUGGUAAGGGAGCUGAAUGAUGGCUAUGGCUUUCAAACAUACGAGAUAGAUGCCCGUGGUACCUAAUAUGGCAGUUCACCAUUGCAGAUCCUAUGUCAGCUAUUUUAAUAAACUUAUUCAGGUGGGUGGCUGGAGCGAUGGCUCAGGAGCCCUUGGUUGGAUUCCCAGCACCCUAUUUUGGCUUCUGCAUGGAAUAUGCACAUACAUGGUAUAGAGACACAGAGACAUGCAGAUAGAACAUCUAUGUGCAUAAAACACUACCAAUCAUGCUAAUAGAGGUUUUCUGCGACAUCCAUGUUAGGUGUCUAUGCAGUGUAAUCUGAAGUGUGAUAUUGAUGUUAUUCGUUGGUCUGAGGAUUGCCUUGGCUCUUUUCAUACGAAUUGCAAGAUUUUACACUAGUUAUCUGAUGAAUAUUUAAAUUUUCACUUAAUUUGUAGAUCACUUCAAUUAAUAUGACUUACUCUAUGUUUAGUGUUGGGCAGUGUCUAGUGUAUUAAUCUGCUUUACAGUUUUCAUUUCAGAGAUCUUGGUUACGUUUAUUUAUACUUGUUUGAUAUUUAUAAAUCUCUUAUGCAUGGAAUUUUUUUUUAGUAUAGAAUAGAGUUUAUUUACAACAUGGGAAGGGAGUUGAGGCAGUAGAGACAAAGAAA